Long non-coding RNA from Apis dorsata (giant honeybee), 431 nucleotides. RefSeq lists it as uncharacterized. The transcript has 3 exons. NCBI's taxonomy places the organism in Eukaryota, Metazoa, Arthropoda, Insecta, Hymenoptera, Apidae. The record is from RefSeq and is a predicted model, not a curated record.
AUUAACGAAAGCUACCUCGAUUAUCUCGGAUCGACGAAGGAAUCUCCGUGUCGUAUCGAACCCCGUGAGAAAUCGCGUCGAUUUCUCCUCGUUGUGUCAUUGAGAAACCGUACACGUUUUACACGCCCUUACCGGUAUCAAUGGCCGAUCGAUCGAAAUCUUAGUACCGGGCUGAAAUACGAGAUGCCACGGAGGAAUGAUCGAGUCGAGAUGGAAAAAGAGAGGUCGGGUAAUUUGGCGUGGGCGGUAGAGUGAGGGGUGACAAGUGGGGUCGAACGCUUGGAAUUCGCGCAGGGAUCGAUUCGAUUUAAUUAAACUCUUGCCGAAUUCCUGGACACCUCGUCCAGGCUCGAGCACGUUAGGCUUGUCACGCGCGGAUAAUCCCUUCGAUCAUCGUCCCAUCCCACGAAUUUCCGAAUUUCCCUCUCCGC